RNAcentral lists this long non-coding RNA (707 nucleotides) under Medicago truncatula (barrel medic). RNAcentral describes it as "long non-coding RNA (MTRU_LNC005959)". Lineage: Eukaryota; Viridiplantae; Streptophyta; Magnoliopsida; Fabales; Fabaceae. The record is from RNAcentral.
UAACCAAUAUCUUCUCUCUUAACAUAGAAACACAAGCUCUGGGAUUUAUUUGCUUCAUGCCCUUUGAAAAUCAAGAUCUCUUCUCUCUCUAAAUGUUUCAAAUACACGUUUUGGUAUAAGCAAGCAUACGUACAAAUCAGGAACGUAGAUUUCAAUAUAUGAGAUGUGAACGUUUUAUGGAAUGAAGCAAGCAUACAUACAGUUACCGGUAAAAUGCAAAGUACGUUAACGUCGGUGGGUACGGCAGCUCCGGCAAAUACCUUAAAAACAAUAACGGUUAAUUGAUUGUGGAUUUGCAAAAUAAGUUUGUGUUUUCUUCUUGUAUUUCAAAUCCGAUCAAAACUACUUAAAAAUCGAUGAAUUUCAUUGAGUUUCGUGCGAGGUUCGAUUGGAUCGGAUCACGGGUCGAAAAAACCCGUCUAGUAGACAACAGGCGAAGAGGAAGACUACUAAAAAAAAAUAAAAAGAUUUUGAAUUGUCAAGGAUCGAACGAAAACGAGACCAAUAGCACUGCAAGCAAGAUACGCACAUACACAUUUUCAAUUCUAGGAUUUUGAUUGUAUUUAAUUGUUUUUUUUUUUUAAGGAUUGUAUUUAAUUGUUGUUACCAGUUUUGAAUAGUUAUCAAAUAACAAAUAAUUUAAUUCAUUUUAUCUUGGGUUAUUAUAUAUAGCAAAUCUUACAUAGACACAAGCCUAAAUAAAAUUU